Oncorhynchus mykiss (rainbow trout) is the source of this 3243-nucleotide non-coding RNA. Lineage: Eukaryota; Metazoa; Chordata; Actinopteri; Salmoniformes; Salmonidae. The record is from RefSeq and is a predicted model, not a curated record.
AUAAAGGUCAUGUUAGAAACUGGAGUCAGUAAGAAAUGUUGCAUGGAUAGUUUUAUUCAAUAGUCCUAUUGUAGCAAUUUUAUCAAAGUAUUGUAUUAAGAGAAAAGCGUCUGACUUAUCCUGAAUUGUCCUAUAUGGUAAUAACAUAUUUAGGAUUGAGGAAUAAACACCCGGACAGAGGAUCUGUUAUUGAGCUCUUGGAGAAGAAUGCUCUUAAGGCUGCAUUCGGCCCAGGCAACAAAGAUGAGAUGGAGGACUGCUACCCAAUCCUCAUCUCAUUCAUGCGCAAUCUUACUGAUGAGCAAUGGCAAGUGAUCUAUAAAGGAUUUAAAAACCUGUAAGUUUCUCCAUCAGCCUUUGACCUUUGAUUUGGGAAUGUUAUGUUGAAUCGAGAGAGGAAUUAACCAUAGUUCUAUUCUGCUAUUACGUUCAUUAAUCUGUCAUACUUCAUCCAACUUUGAAUUCAGUCACAGAUAAGGAAAACGAUGUUGGUGAAAUGCAUUCUGUUCAAUCUAGAAUACUUUACAUCAGAGUUUCAUUGCCAAACCUGCUGUGUUCUGUUUUGUUUGUGCAAUGCAGAUGACAAAGGAACAGCUUGCAAAAUUGUGCAAGACCAUUGUCAACUUCAUUGCACAGACCACCCUGCAGAUCCUGCUGCCGGCCCUGGCCCGCAUUCUAGGGGUGACGGGCUUUUAUGACAACGCUGACUCACUCAAGAGGGGUGGCAGUGCAAGAUCCUUCACUGCCUUUGAGCAGAAAAGACUGGAGCUCAUCCAGGAAGUUAAAUAUUUGGCGAAGUAACUGUGGCGGCAGGGCUCUCCGACCAAGGUCUAGCACACCCUCUUCCAAGAGGUACUGUAUGUUCCCCAUAAUGUGUGUGUGUGUGUGUGUGCAGUUAUUCCUAACCCUCAAACUGAUGAACAAUAAUUUCCCCAUUUCAAUAUUUUCCAGCUUUCUAACAGGUGUGUUUUGCAAUAUCUAAUGCACACAUAUAAAUUACAUUUAGAAUACUCAAUUAUAAUGCUUGUUAGAUUUGUUAGUACUAAGAUAUCGAUUUUCCAACUUCAGACAGCAAUUAACAUGCUUUGCUUGUUCAUUUUAAAGUUCCCAGAACUCACUGAAAGUCCACCUGGGAAUGCCAGAGGACAGUAUCAUCAGCAGUGUCCAGGAGCAACUGUCAAAAUCUGACCAAAUGGUGGCUGCAGGACAGCUUUCACAAAUAGAUAAAGUGGUUGGAACUAUGCUGGAGAACAUUGAGAAGAUAAGCAGCGAAUGUGGCGAGGAAUUGGUCUAUCAAGAGUCACUGCGGUCUUCCUCCUCGUUGUCAUUCUCAACUGCCAAAUCACAGAAGACAGAGUGGGAAUUUGCACUCCCAUUCCUUCUGAGUUACCCGAGAGUACUGCUCAGCCCAUUGUAAGAUGCUCAGUCAUUGACAUGAGCGAAUCUACUAAGCCAAAAACAAUGGUGUGUGAUGCCAGAACAAGCAUGUUUGCCAUAGCCGAUACCAUCAUGAAGAAGGUAUAUCCAGAGGCAGAAGGGCAGGUUACAUCUCACCCUGAUCUAACAGAUCCAAUAGCUAGACUGGAGGAGCUCAUAUCUCAGGGUAGGAUUGGUGCUCUCUCCCGUGAUCUCAGUCACCAAGUGAACCGCAUAAUUUCCGAUAGCAACUUGACCCCUCUGGGACUGACAGUGGCGGCUGGAAAGAGUGCAUCUGAUACCAUCCUUUCGAAGCUGAAGAGGAAUGACAAGGUGGGGAAGCCCACAACUUACGAGCUGGUUCAGCUGUUUGUAGAGGAGUCUGUUAAGUGCCUCCUGCUUCCUAGUUUUGUGCCCUAUUCAACUUCAAUGAGUUUGGCUCAGGGGGCCAAGGUGUUGGCUAGAGUGUCUGAAGAUAGAAUUUCAUGCUCUUCUUCUUCUUCAUCAGUAUUUAGUGACAGUCAGUCUCUUUACCAAAGUUAUGGUAAGCCAGGUCAUGUACUCUGUGGAUUCUGAUGCAGAAAGUAGAGGAUCCUCUCCAACUGAAUCUCUCCAAACAUCUGAACCCACUAUAUCUGAUGUAGGCAAUCUAUUGAGUGGCAAGUCCUCCCCUCGGCUGUCUCCUUCUUGCACCAUUAUGGCAAAAAGCGAGACCUCCAAUGCAGCACAAAUCUUGAAGGCCAACAUUGAUGGAGAGGAAGUGGAUACCACCAGUCAUUCUGGUGUAGCUCAAAACAUUGUCAGGGACGAUAUGUCAACCAGCCCAGACAUGGUCAAAGAUGUCACACUUCCAACCCCAUCCUCUGAUAACUUGGGCAGUGAUGAUGACGUCACCGGCCUCAUCAGCAUGUUAGUAAUGAGAAUUCUAACAGAAAUCCAAACCCCAGCAGAAGAUUACCCAGUUGACGUCACACGCAAGUCACAAGACCUGAUCCCUAAAGUUAUGGAGGUCUUCUGUGCAUGGUCAGGCUGCUCUGAGACACAAGCCUAUCCAGAGAACUUGAGGAUUCAUAAAGUCUACAGAGUCGUCUAUAAAAAUCUGUUGGAGGAGUUUGGCUCUGAGAAAAUCCUCCAACAGGCCGUGUCGACUCAGGACUCUUCAUUUGAUAGGAUUCUUGUCAAGUCUUUGAGUGAAGCGCUUCUCCACAGAUGUAAUGAGGCAUUGAGGGCAGCCUCAAGAACAUCAGUCAAAACCACCGGGCCUAAGGCUCUUCCACUGGCUGAGGAUGUGAGGGCUAGCAGCGGGAAACUAUCUUUUCUACAAAGGCUGGUCAGGCUGACAAGCAACUUAAAGGUACAGCAAACGUAUUUAAAUGAACAGUUGUGAGUAAACAAUGCUAUUCAGUGUAAAAAUAUAAAACCAUCCGUUCAUUCCAAAACCAAUCAUAAAUGUUGUUGUGCUGGUGUGGUAGGUGUGAUUGUUAUCAUCAUGAGGUUGGUCAGCUGUGACAUUUUUUAAAACAUGUUUUUCUCUUUAAAUACUUAGCUAUUCAAGAAGGGGAACAAGAAGGAUUCCCACCGCUCUGAAUCAGAACAAGUACAGACCACUGCUGAAGAUGGCAUGCUGCCCAGCAUAGUGCCACAUGCUGCCAUGUCUGCACUGCCAAAGGAUCUCCCCGCCAGCUCCCAACAGGAGACGCCUCACAAACGUCCACUUCUCGUCAGGAUGUUUUCUGCCAUCUCCAAAGGCCUGUUCAAGCCCUUCAAACAGUCCUUAAAGACCAAGUAACUUCAGACAAUUUAUUAAACGUCAUUCAUUGCAUUAAA